RNAcentral lists this ribosomal RNA (475 nucleotides) under uncultured organism. RNAcentral's name for it is "partial 16S ribosomal RNA". It matches the Rfam family "Bacterial small subunit ribosomal RNA", at positions 331 to 797 of the family's 1533-position model. The record is from RNAcentral.
GUACACUCCUGCGGGAGGCAGCAGUGGGGAAUUUUGGACAAUGGGCGAAAGCCUGAUCCAGCAAUGCCGCGUGUGUGAAGAAGGCCUUCGGGUUGUAAAGCACUUUUGUCCGGAAAGAAAUCCUUGGCUCUAAUACAGUCGGGGGAUGACGGUACCGGAAGAAUAAGCACCGGCUAACUACGUGCCAGCAGCCGCGGUAAUACGUAGGGUGCGAGCGUUAAUCGGAAUUACUGGGCGUAAAGCGUGCGCAGGCGGUUUGCUAAGACCGAUGUGAAAUCCCCGGGCUCAACCUGGGAACUGCAUUGGUGACUGGCAGGCUAGAGUAUGGCAGAGGGGGGUAGAAUUCCACGUGUAGCAGUGAAAUGCGUAGAGAUGUGGAGGAAUACCGAUGGCGAAGGCAGCCCCCUGGGCCAAUACUGACGCUCAUGCACGAAAGCGUGGGGAGCAAACAGGAUUAGAUACCCCAGUAGUCCCA